This 23-nucleotide non-coding RNA is filed under the name Cricetulus griseus (Chinese hamster). The record is from RNAcentral. Lineage: Eukaryota; Metazoa; Chordata; Mammalia; Rodentia; Cricetidae.
AUCAUUAGAACACAGGAGCUCUA